UACGGGGGGAGCAAGCGUUGUUCGGAUUUACUGGGCGUAAAGGGCGCGUAGGCGGCGCAACAAGUCACUUGUGAAAUCUCCGGGCUUAACUCGGAACGGUCAAGUGAUACUGUUGUGCUAGAGUGCGGAAGGGGCAACUGGAAUUCUCGGUGUAGCGGUGAAAUGCGUAGAUAUCGAGAGGAACACCUGCGGCGAAGGCGGGUUGCUGGGCCGACACUGACGCUGAGGAGCGAAAGCGUGGGGAGCGAACAGG
Molecule: ribosomal RNA, 253 nt
Filed under: uncultured bacterium
Lineage: Bacteria
Description: partial 16S ribosomal RNA
Rfam family: Bacterial small subunit ribosomal RNA
Source: RNAcentral